CUAGGUUAAUCGUGACCCCUCCAUCUCCGUUCGACAACCGCACACGCAGCACCUUCUCCAUGACGGCGCCCCCACCUCCGUUCGACAACCCGGACAGCACCCCAAGACAAUAGACCAGUUUCCGUUCGACUCCAGGACAGAAACCUUGCUAUUGUUCGACAUCCACAACAGCUUGUGUGACUGGAGUCAACCUCUCUUCUCCGACGACUGGUUUCCUCCUUCUCAGGUGAGAGCACCUCAGAUGCACUACAGGUUCCCCAGCUCAAAACAACUAUGGAGCGGUCGUGUCACUUUGGGCAUCAGUUAUCAUGGUUUAUUUUAUGGAUACACAAAUUUAGUAUUCAGUUUAUUCAACUUUAUAUGGUGGUGUCAUUGGGGCCUUUGAUCGUCAAGGAGAGCUA
Humulus lupulus (European hop) is the source of this 401-nucleotide long non-coding RNA. RefSeq lists it as uncharacterized. The transcript has 3 exons. The record is from RefSeq and is a predicted model, not a curated record. Lineage: Eukaryota; Viridiplantae; Streptophyta; Magnoliopsida; Rosales; Cannabaceae.